UUGUGCGUUGGCUGAUUGGGUUGUUAACAUGUGAUUUGUCUGUUCUAACGUGUCCUGUACAGAGACGUGUGUCUGAUCACAUGCUACAUGGACAGUGGUAUAUAUGUACGUGCCGGUUUAGAUUGGAUGGGUUGUACUGUUUGGGAGACUGCUACGUCAUUCAUUGGCAGCACCGUUUGUGGGUAGCUUGACGUGUAUGUGCCGUGUUAGACUGUCAGGCGGUGCCGCUAUUGUCGUACGUCCUCGAAGUUGUGUCUGUCGAUCGUUCUGCAUGCUUCUCUAGAAAAC
Molecule: long non-coding RNA, 288 nt
Filed under: Hordeum vulgare
Lineage: Eukaryota; Viridiplantae; Streptophyta; Magnoliopsida; Poales; Poaceae
Description: long non-coding RNA (HVUL_LNC002981)
Source: RNAcentral